AUUCCAGCUCCAAUAGCGAAUACUAAUUCUGCUGCAGUUAAAAAGCUCGUAGUUGAACUUCUGGCGUGCGACCCGGGUCGGCCCGAAAUGGGUCUGUACUAGGAGUCGCGCGCCAUCCUUGGGGCGAGGCGUACUACCAUUAACUUGGCGGUGCGUUGAGCCCCAUCGUUUACUGUGAACAAAUUAGAGUGUUUAAAGCAGGCAUAUGCCUUGAAUACAUUAGCAUGGAAUAAUAAGAUAGGACUUCGGUAAUAUUUUGUUGGUUCAUUAUUGAGGUAAUGAUUAAUAGGGAUAGUAGGGGGUAUUCAUAUUCAAUUGUCAGAGGUGAAAUUCUUGGAUUUAUGGAAGAUGAACAACUGCGAAAGCAUUUACCAAGGAUGUUUUCAUCG
Molecule: ribosomal RNA, 389 nt
Filed under: Stramenopiles sp. MAST-9D
Lineage: Eukaryota
Description: partial small subunit ribosomal RNA
Rfam family: Eukaryotic small subunit ribosomal RNA
Source: RNAcentral